CCUACGGGUGGCAGCAGUGAGGAAUAUUGGUCAAUGGACGAGAGUCUGAAUCAGCCAAGUAGCGUGAAGGAUGACUGCCCUACGGGUUGUAAACUUCUUUUAUAUGGGAAUAAAGUGUUCCACGUGUGGGAUUUUGUAUGUACCAUAUGAAUAAGGAUCGGCUAACUCCGUGCCAGCAGCCGCGGUAAUACGGAGGAUCCGAGCGUUAUCCGGAUUUAUUGGGUUUAAAGGGAGCGUAGGUGGAUUGUUAAGUCAGUUGUGAAAGUUUGCGGCUCAACCGUAAAAUUGCAAUUGAAACUGGCAGUCUUGAGUACAGUAGAGGUGGGCGGAAUUCGUGGUGUAGCGGUGAAAUGCUUAGAUAUCACGAAGAACUCCGAUUGCGAAGGCAGCUUACUGGACUGCAACUGACAUUGAGGCUCGAAAGUGUGGGUAUCAAACAGGAUUAGAUACCCCGGUAGUC
This 460-nucleotide ribosomal RNA is filed under the name uncultured bacterium. RNAcentral's name for it is "partial 16S ribosomal RNA". It matches the Rfam family "Bacterial small subunit ribosomal RNA", at positions 338 to 795 of the family's 1533-position model. The record is from RNAcentral.